Molecule: long non-coding RNA, 504 nt
Organism: Culex pipiens pallens (northern house mosquito)
Lineage: Eukaryota; Metazoa; Arthropoda; Insecta; Diptera; Culicidae
Exons: 2
Source: RefSeq, a predicted model, not a curated record
GUGAAAAUCAAUAAUCAGUGAGAAAUGCUAAGCAACCAUUUUAGCAACAAUGUUUACAUUUUUUAAUGUGUCAGUUGCCUUUUUGAGGAAAAGAUUUUUCUAAAGAUUUCUUUUAGAAAAAUUACAUUUAGAAAUAUUGUGAAGAUCUCGGACCCAUACAAGUGUUUGGCGGAGGUCCAGUUUGGUGGCGCCAACGCGUCAGCCGGGGAAGCCGAUAAGACCACAGAUACAACUGUUGAGUUUGGGAGAUUGUCUGUCCUGAAUCUCUGACUGUGUGACUGGAUACAUGGGAAGGACCUCAGCCAGGUCCAGAUGUUAAAUAAGGCCCUUCCAGUUUAUGAAUCUGCUGUCCUGUACCGGGGAGUCUAUGGAUAACGAGGAACUGAUCAUAAUACUGAGAGCCUUCCCCGUCAUCGAUGGUUACAGCCCUGAAGAAAGAAUUUGUUCAAGACAAAACGAGUUCUAGCUAGAGGAACAUGAAAUAAAAGAUUUAUUCAACAAAAA